This is a long non-coding RNA of Megalobrama amblycephala (Wuchang bream), 1270 nucleotides long. RefSeq lists it as uncharacterized. NCBI's taxonomy places the organism in Eukaryota, Metazoa, Chordata, Actinopteri, Cypriniformes, Xenocyprididae. The transcript is spliced from 3 exons. The record is from RefSeq and is a predicted model, not a curated record.
AAGCGAAAAACAGAAACCAAAUGAAGGCCUAAUGAAUGAUGUUCACUCUUACCGUCUCUUGAAACGAGCCAAACUUGAAAUCAUCUGCAGAUGAGAUCCAUAAAUGCAAUUUCCUGGUGAUGGAGCGAUUUGAGGUGUAUACGCAAGCUGAAGAACUUUGCUCCAGGCCAAUUGAGUACAAUGGAGGUGGGAGGCGAGAUUGGAGACCAGAUGGAGUCUGCCCUGGAUACGUCUGAGACUUACUCAUACCUUUGUAAGUUUACACACAUACAUUAGGGUCCAAAAGUCUGAGACCAUAUUGAAAAUUCAGAUUCCUUAGACAAAAGAUGGACAUACCAAAUGCUGAAAUAUAUAUAUAAAUAAAACAUGUUAACUCGCACAGCAGCAGUAAUCACCCAUUUAGUGCUAGCCUUUUAUGUCACGGUCUGUGACUUUCAUCCUCUGCAGGAAACAGUACUAUUUCCCCUCUCACAUUCACAGCAUCCAAUUAAAGCUCCUCUAUUACACACACACACACACACACACAGUCACAUUCAAAGAGCACCAAGAGUCUCAACUGCUCAAGACCAGAUUAUAUCUUCAUGAAAGCCAUCAAUCAUUAUAUGAAAUUAAAAUAUUCCCUCCUAGACUGUGUCACAUUGUGUCUUUGUUCCCAAUCCUGUGUUCUCAUAACGACAGAUGUAGCCAGCAAUAACCCCAAUCUACUUCCAGUGGAAGUCACAUCACUGUUUCGAUAGGCUGAUGUUGGCAUAGCAACAGUGGAACUGAAGAUAUUCCGCUUCAAUUGUUUUAUUACCCGGCCUUCCCUUGGCAGACUCUUUGCAGGCAUGACAGUGACAAUAAUGAUGAACCAGCAAGAGAAGUUUGAACUUUAGUUGAUGGAAAAAAAGUGAUUUUAAUGUUUUACUUCAUUUUUAUAAUAUUUCAGCAUGAUGCGUACACUGUGAUGUCUUUCAUCUUUUAAAUUGGUUUAGAGAAAUAUUAUGAUCGCAUUUUAACUUGACUAAAAUGGCAAACAAGUUCAGGUUAUAUUUUCACAAUGUAAUAAUUAUGGUUAAAUUUAGUGACAUUCAAAAAUGUGUCUGCUGUGCUGAUUUAAAUAUUUCCUCAGUAGACUGGAUCAAAUUUAAUCUAAUCUGUUUAGAAAUGGCCCCUUGUCUGAAGAUGAGUUGUCACAGUAACACUCCUCUAAGUGCUGUUGGCUCUUUAAGUGUGACAGACUUGCAGUUUUAAGCAAUAAAUGGAUUUUAAAUGGUUUUAAGUUCUAAGU